This 301-nucleotide ribosomal RNA is filed under the name uncultured bacterium. Its description in RNAcentral is "partial 16S ribosomal RNA". It matches the Rfam family "Bacterial small subunit ribosomal RNA", at positions 509 to 807 of the family's 1533-position model. The record is from RNAcentral.
CAGUAGCCGCGGGAAUACGGAGGGUGCAAGCGUUAAUCGGAAUUACUGGGCGUAAAGCGUGCGCAGGCGGUUAUAUAAGACAGAUGUGAAAUCCCCGGGCUCAACCUGGGAACUGCAUUUGUGACUGUAUAGCUAGAGUACGGCAGAGGGGGAUGGAAUUCCGCGUGUAGCAGUGAAAUGCGUAGAUAUGCGGAGGAACACCGAUGGCGAAGGCAAUCCCCUGGGCCUGUACUGACGCUCAUGCACGAAAGCGUGGGGAGCAAACAGGAUUAGAUACCCGGGUAGUCCCUGUCUCUUAUAC